Molecule: ribosomal RNA, 2927 nt
Filed under: Triticum aestivum (bread wheat)
Lineage: Eukaryota; Viridiplantae; Streptophyta; Magnoliopsida; Poales; Poaceae
Description: partial small subunit ribosomal RNA
Source: RNAcentral
UAAAAAUCCACCAUUGAUGGUGAUCCACCAUCCUACCUAAAAUGGGGCCAGGGGAUAUCCUGCAGCUAGACAAAGAGGCUCCGGGUAGAGAAGAGAAUAGGAUUUAGCUCGGAGGGCCGCGGUGAGGGCUGGGUUGGCGGCAGGGCAAGGUGGAGGGCCGGUAGCGCGGACGGUGGCGCGGGGUGGAGGGCCGGUAGGGCGGGUGGUGGCGCGUGGUGGAGGGCUGGUACCGCGGGCGACGGCGCGGGGUGGAGGGCCGGUACCGCGGGCGGCGGCGCGUGGUGGAGGACCAGUACCGCGGGCGGCGGCGCGGGGUGGAGGGCCGGUACAGCGGACGGAGACGCGGGGUGGAGGGCUGGUGCGCGGGCGGCGUCGCCGGGUGGAGGGGCCUGUGCGCGGGGUAGCGGCGUGAGGACGUUGGUGUAGAGCCACUGCGCGGGUUGGAAGAAGGAGGAGGACGGUGGAGGACAGCGUCGCGUGGUGCGGUUCGUGUAGGGGAUGGAGGAGGAGGAGAACGAACGAGGGUCACUCCGUGGCUCGCGGGCUGGUAGGGGAAGGUGGACGAGUCGUAGGGGUUACGCUGUCGCGUCUUUUGGCAUCGAGCCGUCAGGUGGGAGUACGAGGCGGUACCCAGAUAGUCUAUCGUUCUACGUCCCGUGGAGAGAGAGAGAGAGAGAGUUUACUAAACGGCAUACCAGGUUAAAACAUAGAAACUAAAACAAGAAAGAACUUCGAACCUACUCUUUUUGGAUUUUUUAACGUCUUACAAGGUGGCAUACGUGAAACAAGUACAAGGAGACACUUAACUAGUCACUAGUAGCGCGAGCUGACAGAGGGAGGACGGGGCAGACAGGUCCAAACCUGAGUGUGGUCAAGUUCAUCACUACAACGUUGUCCAACCCCUUGUUAAAACCUUAGUGCAUAUAUAUCACCAACGAACGUUUACUUAAACAGCAACGAUCAUGUAAAAACAUGGUCUACUAAGGUUCACUUAACAGCAAAUGAUGAUAGGUGCUACAAGGACGGUACAAAACAAAAGUAAACUUAAAUGAUACAUUGGUGACGAGUACCAUUGUAGUUUGUUAUUUAAAAUAUACGGACCGUACAAACUAGACUAAACUGAGGUACUGGUAUCACGUUUUGUUUUUAGAUGUUAUAGGAACGAUCGAACGUAGAGAUUAAAUCAUUUUAACAGAGAUUUCAAAACUAACGUAGCGGUAGAGGGCCACCCCGAGACGACGGCCUCGUGGGACCUGUAAGUUCCCUCCACUUCGGGUCCCACGAGCAGCCUCGGGCAUGACCUAGUGCAUGACCUUGGGACUGUACUACGUUAAUCAGUAAUCACAGCUGCUGACUAAAUAAAACAAAACAUGUUCAAUUUUGUAGUCACCGGUAUCCCUUCCUCUGGAAGGGUCUAGCACGGGGACCUGUUACGUUGUUGCUUAACCUGCGGCAAAGGCGGAGAGAAGGUCGUCGCGGCUACAGGGGAAGAUCGAGUCGUGGCCAAAGGGGCGGAGUACUAUGCCAGACGUCCACGAACACUCAACAGACGAUCCGCAACAAAUUCACAGUAUCUACUGCACAACAGAGGACCGUAGACCUAAUCGACGGCUGACGUUUAUUUUCCAACCUUGAAGGACAGAUAAAACCAACCACUUAUGCAUAAUUGUUUUAAAGAAAAGAUGUACCAUCAAGUUGAUAAAGUUUUUUGUUUAAGAGAUGUGCUAUCAAGUACACGACGAUCGUCUAUUCAAGUUUCUUGUUUGGCGGUGUUCAUGAAUUAAAGUUUAGUAAAAUAAAACAAAUUAAAGUUAGUCGAGAUGAUGUAUGCGAUAAGUUCAAGUCUCGAUUGCUGUAGUAGUCAAGCCUGUACUUUGGUUUAAAGUUUAAUUUUGGGGUUUUCCCAAUUGAAGAUAUUCAGGUACAAGGGUAUGGCUCCAGCAAGUUUUUUGGUCUAGUAUUUUCAGGUGACAAAGUAAAACGUCCAAGUCUUUCUUUUUAACUACAACAAAAACGGUAAAAGUUUUAACGAGAAUUUGUUUUUCAAGUUAUAAUUUGCAAAACACGGACAGGAAUGUAAUCGAUCAGAAAGUGGUACAGGUCUAUCACGGAUCCUCUUCACUUCUAUUCCAAAUAUAAAUACAAAUACUAUCAACUUUCUAAUCCACAUUUUUUAUAAAAGAACGUCCGAUGACUUACAAAGUUAAGCAACACACACUUAAAACAACAUCGUUUUAUAAAAGAGAAGGAGAUAUUUAGAGGGAGGACAGUGAUUAAAUAAAAGAGAGACUUAUGUUGUGCUCCCUCCGACCUCUCUGACGUCUGGCCACUGUUCUUGGUGAGAAAUCAAGACGAUAAGCACAUAACCUUCAUGUAUAGGAGAUAGGUCCGUCCUCCAUCUCAUGAACGAAUAUACAACUUCUAAAGACGACCUUUGCUCAAGUAAUAAAACGGGGAUCUGAACAUCUGCCUCACAACCGCUUCUGUCGAUACCUCUCCUUUGACAUAUACCACUUCUUAACCCUCGGUCUUCUCGUUUCGGCUAUCGUCCCGGCUCGUCUUCUACAGCGGUUACAACAACCCAGUACCCUCUUGUGGUUCAUCUUCCGCCAGGAACUGCACUUCGAGACUUACGGUCUCCAGAGCUGAGACUUAGACCUGGAACGGAUCAACGGAAAAAACACAAUCGAUCUAGUCAUGAUCACGAGUCAUCAUGCUGUUCAUCGUCAUGACUAGUCAUGCUGAAUGUGUUAUGAUCAUGACUAGUGAUGAUAAAAAUUACAAUUUUCAUUGUAGGUAUGACAUAAAUACUCAGUAUGACUGUUCCUACAGCAGAUGUUAAGAUUUGAAUAACAACUGAGCAUGAUCAUGACUACUUUACCCUUCGUUCACAGUGUACUUAGGAGUUAACUUACCCUUCCUUCCAA